Molecule: ribosomal RNA, 301 nt
Filed under: uncultured bacterium
Lineage: Bacteria
Description: partial 16S ribosomal RNA
Rfam family: Bacterial small subunit ribosomal RNA
Source: RNAcentral
CAGCAGCCGCGGUAAUACGUAGGGUGCGAGCGUUAAUCGGAAUUACUGGGCGUAAAGCGUGCGCAGGCGGUUAUAUAAGACAGUUGUGAAAUCCCCGGGCUCAACCUGGGAGCUGCAUCUGUGACUGUAUAGCUAGAGUACGGUAGAGGGGGAUGGAAUUCCGCGUGUAGCAGUGAAGUGCGUAGAUAUGCGGAGGAGCACCGAUGGCGAAGGCAAUCCCCUGGACCUGUACUGACGCUCAUGCACGAAAGCGUGGGGAGCAAACAGGAUUAGAUACCCGGGUAGUCCCUGUCUCUUAUAC